AGAACGAACGCUGGCGGCAUGCCUAACACAUGCAAGUCGAACGAGACCUUCGGGUCUAGUGGCGCACGGGUGCGUAACGCGUGGGAAUCUGCCCUUGGGUCCGGAAUAACAGUUAGAAAUGACUGCUAAUACCGGAUGAUGUCUUCGGACCAAAGAUUUAUCGCCCAGGGAUGAGCCCGCGUAGGAUUAGCUUGUUGGUGAGGUAAAGGCUCACCAAGGCGACGAUCCUUAGCUGGUCUGAGAGGAUGAUCAGCCACACUGGGACUGAGACACGGCCCAGACUCCUACGGGAGGCAGCAGUGGGGAAUAUUGGACAAUGGGCGAAAGCCUGAUCCAGCAAUGCCGCGUGAGUGAUGAAGGCCUUAGGGUUGUAAAGCUCUUUUGCCAGGGAUGAUAAUGACAGUACCUGGAGAAUAAGCUCCGGCUAACUCCGUGCCAGCAGCCGC
Molecule: ribosomal RNA, 446 nt
Filed under: uncultured bacterium
Lineage: Bacteria
Description: SSU rRNA
Rfam family: Bacterial small subunit ribosomal RNA
Source: RNAcentral